CCUACGGGGGGCAGCAGUGGGGAAUAUUGGACAAUGGGCGAAAGCCUGAUCCAGCAAUGCCGCGUGUGUGAAGAAGGCCUGCGGGUUGUAAAGCACUUUUGUUGGGAAAGAAAAGUCGUCGGAUAAUACCCGGCGGUCUUGACGGUACCCAAAGAAUAAGCACCGGCUAACUCCGUGCCAGCAGCCGCGGUAAUACGGAGGGUGCGAGCGUUAAUCGGAAUUACUGGGCGUAAAGCGCGCGUAGGCGGUUUGACAAGUCGGAUGUGAAAGCCCCGGGCUUAACCUGGGAAUUGCAUUCGAAACUGUCAGGCUCGAGUCUGGGAGAGGGAAGCGGAAUUCCGGGUGUAGCGGUGAAAUGCGUAGAUAUCCGGAGGAACAUCAGUGGCGAAGGCGGCUUCCUGGCCCAAGACUGACGCUGAGGUGCGAAAGCGUGGGGAGCA
RNAcentral lists this ribosomal RNA (440 nucleotides) under uncultured bacterium. RNAcentral describes it as "bacterial SSU rRNA". It matches the Rfam family "Bacterial small subunit ribosomal RNA", at positions 338 to 770 of the family's 1533-position model. The record is from RNAcentral.